UACGUAGGGGCUAGCGUUAUCCGGAAUUACUGGGCGUAAAGGGUGCGUAGGUGGUUUCUUAAGUCAGAGGUGAAAGGCUACGGCUCAACCGUAGUAAGCCUUUGAAACUGAGAAACUUGAGUGCAGGAGAGGAGAGUAGAAUUCCUAGUGUAGCGGUGAAAUGCGUAGAUAUUAGGAGGAAUACCAGUUGCGAAGGCGGCUCUCUGGACUGUAACUGACACUGAGGCACGAAAGCGUGGGGAGCAAACCGGAUUAGAUACCCUGGUAGUCCCUGAG
RNAcentral lists this ribosomal RNA (276 nucleotides) under uncultured prokaryote. RNAcentral describes it as "partial 16S ribosomal RNA". It matches the Rfam family "Bacterial small subunit ribosomal RNA", at positions 524 to 801 of the family's 1533-position model. The record is from RNAcentral.